CCUGGGCUUUGUCACGCAGGGGGA
RNAcentral lists this non-coding RNA (24 nucleotides) under Cricetulus griseus (Chinese hamster). The record is from RNAcentral. Lineage: Eukaryota; Metazoa; Chordata; Mammalia; Rodentia; Cricetidae.